GCGACCCCAGGAUGGGCGAGGCCA
RNAcentral lists this ribosomal RNA (24 nucleotides) under Coelogyne cristata. RNAcentral describes it as "partial 26S ribosomal RNA". Lineage: Eukaryota; Viridiplantae; Streptophyta; Magnoliopsida; Asparagales; Orchidaceae. RNAcentral also lists the same sequence under 23 other names. The record is from RNAcentral.